CAUGCUCGGUGAGGAAACUGAGACAAAGAGCUCAUCGCCGGCCCUCAGCUCGAACAGUCCUCCCUGGUAGACGGAGUGGAGGGCAUACUCGGCAUCUGGAGCCCAGCACUUGGUGCCCACCCCCUUCAGGAGCUAGACAGAGCAUCGUCCCAGACUCCCAGUCAGAGGCCACUCAGUCAGUCUUGCCUUCAGUUAGUGAGAAGCUGCUGCUCCGUUGGGUUGAGAUCUGCUGACUGACUGGGCCAAUGGAAAACAUCCAUUUCUCUUGCUUGUGAAAGCAGUCUGUGUUGAGACUUCCAGCAAACAUCUACCAAAGGUGGUUCCACUGUGACACAUGUGUAACAAACGACGCUCACCACAACAUUCUCCACAUCAAGGCCUAUCGGCUCGAUUGCAGCUUGAAGUCAUUACUCUGCUCUUUAAAUGAAAGCGGAGGCAGACAGUGGUCCACAGAGUUGGUGGACAUGCGGGGCUAUAAAUAAAAGGAGAUAAAAGUUGGAGCCAAGGAGACAGUGUGGUCAAGAGAUGAUACUGGAGGAAAACACAACAAUGUGAGGAUUCACAGAAGCGCUUCCAGCUGUCAGGGAUGCAGCGUAGAGAAGAAGUGCAAUAAAACCUAAUCAACACAAACAUCCUUGGUGGUGGUAAUGAAAGCAUGACUUCAUCAGGCUGGACCAAAUAGUCACGGCUUCAAGGUUGAAUCAAAGCCUGCAGUAUGUGCACCAGAGACAGGGUUUGGCCUGUUUAUGUCAGUGGACCUCCUCUUUUCAACUGCAGCUCAACAUCAAAGGGCAGAAAAAGUCAGUUCAUAAAUGCUCCACAAACACAUUUCUAAAGGCUAAGAUUCACCCUUUUCAUCCUUAUGAGGCUUGAUUGCUUUACGCUAAAAAAUGUGCUUAUUGUCGGCAGUUGUAAUGCAUUAACUACAAAUUAAUGUGUUAAACAUUUGAAAGAAUAGGAUGAAAUAGGACAAUAAAAUCAAAUGGAAUGAAAACAAACAAAACGCUAGGAAGCUAAUAAUGAAACCUGAACAUGUGAAAGUCAUAAAUAAAUGCACACGCCAGCAAUACACAGCCACAGAUCUCUGCGUUCACGCUGUCAAAGCAGCUGUUUCACAAUUAAGGUGUUCUGCUUCACUUAUAAAGUGUAACAAGUUCAAUUACAAGUUUACAUUUUGUUAAUCAUAUCAAGACUAAGUCCACAUUAUGUGUCUGAAUC
Molecule: long non-coding RNA, 1218 nt
Organism: Betta splendens (Siamese fighting fish)
Lineage: Eukaryota; Metazoa; Chordata; Actinopteri; Anabantiformes; Osphronemidae
Exons: 5
Source: RefSeq, a predicted model, not a curated record